GGCUAAUACCAAAAUACUCCGCACAUAUCACAUGAAUGUAUGCGGGAAAGCUUUUGCGGUAAGAGAUGGGUCGCGGCCCAUUAGGUAGACGGCGGGGUAGAAGCCCCACCCGUGCCGAUGAUGGGUAGCCGGGUUGAGAGACCGACCGGCCACAUUGGGACUGAGAUACGGCCCAGACUCCUACGGGAGGCAGCAGUGGGGAAUAUUGCGCAAUGGGGGAAACCUGACGCAGCAACGCCGCGUGCGGGAUGAAGGCCUUCGGGUUGUAACCGCUUUCAGCAGGGGAAGACAUCGACGGUACCUGCAGAAGAAGCCCCGGCUAACUACGUGCCAGCAGCCGCGGUAAU
RNAcentral lists this ribosomal RNA (347 nucleotides) under uncultured Coriobacteriaceae bacterium. RNAcentral's name for it is "bacterial SSU rRNA". It matches the Rfam family "Bacterial small subunit ribosomal RNA", at positions 161 to 524 of the family's 1533-position model. The record is from RNAcentral. Lineage: Bacteria; Bacillati; Actinomycetota; Coriobacteriia; Coriobacteriales; Coriobacteriaceae.